GUGCCAGCAGCCGCGGUAACACCGGCAGCCCAAGUGAUGGCCGAUAUUAUUGGGCCUAAAGCGUCCGUAGCUGGCCGCGCAAGUUCGUCGGGAAAUCCACUCGCUUAACGAGUGGGCGUCCGGCGAAAACUGUGCGGCUUGGGACCGGAAGAUCCAAGGGGUACGUCCGGGGUAGGAGUGAAAUCCCGUAAUCCUGGACGGACCACCGAUGGCGAAAGCACCUUGAGAGGACGGACCCGACAGUGAGGGACGAAAGCCAGGGUCUCGAACCGGAUUAGAAACCCCAGUAGUCC
RNAcentral lists this ribosomal RNA (293 nucleotides) under uncultured bacterium. RNAcentral's name for it is "partial 16S ribosomal RNA". It matches the Rfam family "Archaeal small subunit ribosomal RNA", at positions 455 to 747 of the family's 1478-position model. The record is from RNAcentral.